CUUUGGCACUUGACAAAUAGUGAAAUUUGGAACAAUACAGAGAAGAAUAACAUGGCCCCUUACACAAGGAUGACACACAAAUUUGUGAAGUAUUCCAUAUAAUA
Molecule: small nuclear RNA, 104 nt
Filed under: Castor canadensis (American beaver)
Lineage: Eukaryota; Metazoa; Chordata; Mammalia; Rodentia; Castoridae
Source: RNAcentral